Long non-coding RNA from Carassius auratus (goldfish), 2070 nucleotides. RefSeq lists it as uncharacterized. The record is from RefSeq and is a predicted model, not a curated record. Lineage: Eukaryota; Metazoa; Chordata; Actinopteri; Cypriniformes; Cyprinidae. The transcript has 8 exons.
UACCAGCAUUUCACAAUAAUUAACAGUAUUAUUUUACAGUAACUUGUUGUAAUUAAGUUUCCCUGUAAUAUCCCAAUGAAUACCUGUAAAAAACUAAAGUAUCCUUGGAUUUUACAGCAUUUAACUCUUAUUUUACAGUAAAAUCUUGCUAUCUAAAACCUACUGUUAUAUCACAACAAGGUCUGUAAUAUCACAGCAACACAGUGUAAAAAAUAAGUAUUUCACAGCAGUAAACAGUAUUAUUACAGUGAAAUAUUGUAUUGAAAUUUGCCCUGGGAAGUCACAUGACAUAACCGAUCUGUUUUGAAUUGAAAGCGCUGUCGUCGUGUCCCUCUUCUAUUCCGGGCUGAAUGGAGAAGCAGGUAUCCUAGUUACAACAUGACUGAGCUAAGUUAACUGGAGAGCCAUCCAAAAUCAUUUGGCGACACUGGCAAGCACGGUGAUACUGAUGGAGACGGAUGUCACUCUCUUCUGCAACAUGUAAAAAUGAGAGUGGAGUAAAAAAAUAGGAAUAAAGCUCUUGCUCAAUGCUGCAGAGAAAGAAGACCGCUCACUGGAAUGGCAGGAGAGGCCAGACUGGCAAGAGGUCCUGUUGACCAAUACGGGUGUGUCAGGUGGGGCCCAGCAGAUUUGCCAGAGGGGGAGACCGAGGCAACGUUGGAGAAUAUAAAGAGGGAUCUGCUGAACAUCUACUCAGGCAUGCCAUCUACUCUCUUUUUGGAGGAAGGAAUGAGUGGGGCAGAGAGAGCAGAACCAAUGAUGGAAAAGACAUGCAUCAUCCUGCGGAAGUACCUUAACAAAGUGCCUGCUGCAGUGAUGUCUGAGAUCAAACAGGAAUGGCCAUUUCUCUUCUCUCAGAAAUGCCUAUUCUCACACUUAGACCUCCUGAUGGACGUUGAUGUCCUUCAGAAGCUACAGGAGGCAAUUAGUCGAAGAGGACAGACCAUCCUGGAUUACUGUGCAACACUGGACAACCCAAAGAUCCGUGAUGUUCUGGCCUGCUAUGAUCCAGACUCUGACAAGGCUGCCUGCAUCCUGCUGCUCCUAAUGUUGUACUUCAGAGAGUUUGAUGCUUGAAGUUCAUCCAUGUGCCACUGCUGUGGACGUCAAUACUGCAGAACUCCCCGGAACCCCCUGCUUGAUCAUUCAAGGUGACAUGAUGAAGCCCUCUGGAUGGCUUAUAUCCAUCAAGGGACAUGUCGUGAUGGGCCCACACCCUUUAUUUUUACAUGGAGUAGCACUUUCUUCAGCAGCUAUUACGUAUUCAACCUUGAGUAUCCUACCACUGGAUCUUCGACGCUGGAGUUCAUUCAAAGGUGCUUCCUGGGCAUCAAUCCUGAAAGAGGCUCAAAGACCAAGAAGCGGACAACUAUGAACCCUCAUGUGAGCACCCUUUUGAGGAAACUUAUUGACUUUGAGUGGGCACCAUAGGUUUUUUUUUUUUUUUUUUGCAGCGGUAGUUGUCAGGCUCAGUUUUGAGUAGCCUUGUUCUUUUUGUAAUUUUUCCAGACAACUUUGCACUACAAUGCUGUUGCGUGUGACUCUUGAAGUACUUGGCAUCUGCUGUACAAUUGAAAAAUAUUUUUUUCUUAAUAAAUAUGCCAUUGGGCUAACGUUGACUUUACCUCAGAGUUGUUUGUUGGGGGGAGGGGGUUAAUUGUACAAUGAUUGUAAAUUCACAGUAAAUGGAAGCUUCAUCUGCAUUACUUUUACAGUAAGUUAUUGGACAAUUUUAGCAUGACUUCCACAGUAUACAUUGUAAAUUCACAGUAAAGUAUUGUCAAAUUGUACAUUAUUUUCACACUACACACUGUAAAAGUACAGGGCCUUGUUGUAAUGAUGUACAGCAAAAGAUUGUAAUUCCCCAGUAAUGUACUGUAAUAUCACAGUAAUGCUGUGUCACUGAAGCUGUGAAGUUACAGUAUACAGUUGUGCUUUUACAACAAUGCAUUGUAAUAUCACAGAUAUAAAAUUACAGUAAAUUGCUGUGACUAUAUUUCACAGUAUAUUGCUGUAAUCCUUACUGUGAAAGUCAUGCAAAAUUUAUCCAAUUAUUUAUUGUAAAUUUAC